GCCUCUGUAGCUCAGUUGGUUAGAGCGCUGCACCGGAAUUGCAGGGCCGCUGGUGAAAUUCCUGCCAGGGACC
Non-coding RNA from Paramuricea clavata, 73 nucleotides. Lineage: Eukaryota; Metazoa; Cnidaria; Anthozoa; Malacalcyonacea; Plexauridae. The record is from the annotation of a GenBank genome assembly.